CCGACAAGCUGGGUGGCAAAGCAAGCAUAUAGGCCACCUCCUCAAUCAUCCUAUGUAUCUCAAAAGUUCCAAUGAACCGUGCACUCAGCUUCCCUUUCUUCCCAAACCUCAUAACACCCUUCAUAGGCGAAACCUUCAACAAGACCUUCUUGCCCACCAUAUAAGAUAUAUCUCGAACCUUCCGGUCCACAUAACCCUUCUGACGUGACUGAGCUGUACGAAGUCUCUCCUGGAUCACUUUCACCUUCUCUAAGGCAUCCUAGACCAACUCUGUCCCUAAUAGCCUAGCCUCAUCGGGCUCAAACCAAAAAACCAGGGAUCUACACCGUCUCCCAUAUAAGGCCUCAUACGGCGCCAUCUGAAUACUGG
This 369-nucleotide long non-coding RNA is filed under the name Nicotiana benthamiana. Its description in RNAcentral is "long non-coding RNA (NBEN_LNC033920)". Lineage: Eukaryota; Viridiplantae; Streptophyta; Magnoliopsida; Solanales; Solanaceae. The record is from RNAcentral.